RNAcentral lists this ribosomal RNA (398 nucleotides) under uncultured bacterium. RNAcentral's name for it is "bacterial SSU rRNA". It matches the Rfam family "Bacterial small subunit ribosomal RNA", at positions 358 to 773 of the family's 1533-position model. The record is from RNAcentral.
GGAAUCUUGGACAAUGGGCGCAAGCCUGAUCCAGCCAUGCCGCGUGAGUGAUGACGGCCUUAGGGUUGUAAAGCUCUUUCACCGGUGAAGAUAAUGACGGUAACAGGAGAAGAAGCCCCGGCUAACUUCGUGCCAGCAGCCGCGGUAAUACGAAGGGGGCUAGCGUUGUUCGGAAUAACUGGGCGUAAAGCGCAUGUAGGCGGAUUGUUAAGUCAGGGGUGAAAUCCCACGGCUCACCCGUGGAACUGCCUUUGAUACUGGCAAUCUCGAGUCCGGAAGAGGUGAGUGGAAUUCCGAGUGUAGAGGUGAAAUUCGUAGAUAUUCGGAGGAACACCAGUGGCGAAGGCGGCUCACUGGCUCGAUACUGACGCUGAGGUGCGAAAGCGUGGGGAGCAAAC